This 75-nucleotide transfer RNA is filed under the name Clostridiales bacterium. RNAcentral's name for it is "tRNA-Glu". It matches the Rfam family "tRNA". From Rfam's summary of the family: Transfer RNA (tRNA) molecules are approximately 80 nucleotides in length. Their secondary structure includes four short double-helical elements and three loops (D, anti-codon, and T loops). The record is from RNAcentral. Lineage: Bacteria; Bacillati; Bacillota; Clostridia; Eubacteriales. RNAcentral also lists the same sequence under 2 other names.
GCCACUAUAGUCUAGAGGUUAGGACGUUGGCCUCUCACGCCGAAGACCCGGGUUCGAUUCCCGGUGGUGGUGCCA